RNAcentral lists this ribosomal RNA (563 nucleotides) under uncultured bacterium. RNAcentral describes it as "bacterial SSU rRNA". It matches the Rfam family "Bacterial small subunit ribosomal RNA", at positions 8 to 583 of the family's 1533-position model. The record is from RNAcentral.
AGAGUUUGAUUCUGGCUCAGGAUGAACGCUGGCGGCGUGCCUAAUACAUGCAAGUCGAGCGAACCACUUCGGUGGGAAGCGGCGAACGGGUGAGUAACACGUAGGUGAUCUGCCCAUCAGACGGGGACAACGAUUGGAAACGAUCGCUAAUACCGGAUAGGACGAAAGUUUAAAGAUGCUCCUGGCAUCACUGAUGGAUGAGCCUGCGGCGCAUUAGCUAGUUGGUGGGGUAAAGGCCUACCAAGGCGACGAUGCGUAGCCGACCUGAGAGGGUGAACGGCCACACUGGGACUGAGACACGGCCCAGACUCCUACGGGAGGCAGCAGUAGGGAAUCUUCGGCAAUGGGCGAAAGCCUGACCGAGCAACGCCGCGUGAAUGAAGAAGGCCUUCGGGUUGUAAAAUUCUGUUAUAAGGGAAGAAAGGUGAUAGGAGGAAAUGACUAUCAAUUGACGGUACCUUAUGAGAAAGCCACGGCUAACUACGUGCCAGCAGCCGCGGUAAUACGUAGGUGGCAAGCGUUAUCCGGAAUUAUUGGGCGUAAAAAGCGCGCAGGUGGUUAAU